UACGUAGGGGCGAGCGUUGUCCGGAAUGAUUGGGCGUAAAGGGCGCGCAGGCGGCCUGUCAAGUCAGUAGUGGAAGUCCAUUUUUCAAGGAUGGAAGUGCUAUAGAAACUGAUGGGCUUGAGUGCAGGAGAGGUUAUCGGAAUUCCCGGUGUAGCGGUGAAAUGCGUAGAGAUCGGGAGGAACACCAGUGGCGAAGGCGGGUAACUGGACUGCAACUGACGCUGAGGCGCGAAAGUGUGGGGAGCAAACAGGAUUAGAUACCUCGGUA
RNAcentral lists this ribosomal RNA (268 nucleotides) under uncultured prokaryote. Its description in RNAcentral is "partial 16S ribosomal RNA". It matches the Rfam family "Bacterial small subunit ribosomal RNA", at positions 524 to 792 of the family's 1533-position model. The record is from RNAcentral.